UACGUAGGGGUGCGAGCGUUGUCCGGAAUUACUGGGCGUAAAGAGCUCGUAGGUGACGUGUCGCGUCUGCCGUGAAAGCCCAUGGCUUAACUGUGGGUCUGCGGUGGAUACGGGCAGGCUGGAGGCUGGUAGGGGCAAGGCGGAAUUCCUGGUGUAGCGGUGAAAUGCGCAGAUAUCAGGAGGAACACCGGUGGCGAAGGCGGCAUCCUGGACCGGUAUUGACGCCUGAGGAGCGAAAAGCCAGGGGAGGACAAACGGGG
RNAcentral lists this ribosomal RNA (260 nucleotides) under uncultured bacterium. Its description in RNAcentral is "partial 16S ribosomal RNA". It matches the Rfam family "Bacterial small subunit ribosomal RNA", at positions 524 to 777 of the family's 1533-position model. The record is from RNAcentral.